Molecule: ribosomal RNA, 663 nt
Filed under: uncultured cyanobacterium
Lineage: Bacteria; Bacillati; Cyanobacteriota
Description: bacterial SSU rRNA
Rfam family: Bacterial small subunit ribosomal RNA
Source: RNAcentral
CGGACGGGUGAGUAACGCGUGAGAAUCUGGCUUCAGGUCUGGGACAACCACUGGAAACGGUGGCUAAUACCGGAUGUGCCGAAAGGUGAAAGGUUAACUGCCUGAAGAUGAGCUCGCGUCUGAUUAGCUAGUUGGUAGAGUAAAAGCCUACCAAGGCGACGAUCAGUAGCUGGUCUGAGAGGACGAUCGGCCACACUGGGACUGAGACACGGCCCAGACUCCUACGGGAGGCAGCAGUGGGGAAUUUUCCGCAAUGGGCGAAAGCCUGACGGAACAAUACCGCGUGAGGGAGGAAGGCUCUUGGGUCGUAAACCUCUUUUCUCAGGGAAGAACACAAUGACGGUACCUGAGGAAUAAGCAUCGGCUAACUCCGUGCCAGCAGCCGCGGUAAUACGGAGGAUGCAAGCGUUAUCCGGAAUGAUUGGGCGUAAAGCGUCCGCAGGUGGCAAUGUAAGUCUGCUGUUAAAGAGUCUAGCUCAACUAGAUAAGAGCAGUGGAAACUACAUAGCUAGAGUACGUUCGGGGCAGAGGGAAUUCCUGGUGUAGCGGUGAAAUGCGUAGAGAUCAGGAAGAACACCGGUGGCGAAGGCGCUCUGCUAGGCCGUAACUGACACUGAGGGACGAAAGCUAGGGGAGCGAAUGGGAUUAGAUACCCCAGUAGUC